This 200-nucleotide unclassified non-coding RNA is filed under the name soil metagenome. RNAcentral describes it as "partial contains internal transcribed spacer 2 and large subunit ribosomal RNA". The record is from RNAcentral.
UGCUUAAGAUGACUAGGCGUAUUAGUUUCCCAUUUGGGAAUCCACUCGUGCGCCGGUGUAUUGGUCUCUAAAGCCUUUGUGUUGGUUGAUCGCUAUGCUUUCUUAAAUGUUCUUCUGAGCAUUUACUUAGUUUGGCUUGCAGUAAGCAUACCGAACUUGAUCUUGAUCUCAAAUCAGGCAAGACUACCCGCUGAAUUUAA